Molecule: non-coding RNA, 143 nt
Filed under: uncultured Ruminococcus sp.
Lineage: Bacteria; Bacillati; Bacillota; Clostridia; Eubacteriales; Oscillospiraceae
Description: FMN riboswitch (RFN element)
Rfam family: FMN riboswitch aptamer (RFN element)
About the family: The RFN element is a highly conserved domain that is found frequently in the 5'-untranslated regions of prokaryotic mRNAs that encode for flavin mononucleotide (FMN) biosynthesis and transport proteins.
Source: RNAcentral
UUCGAGGGCAGGGUGAGAUUCCCUACCGGCAGUAAGGACAAUUCGUCCACAGCCUGCGAGCCUUUUAUAGGUUGAUCCGGUGAAAUUCCGGAGCCGACGGUUAUGCCUGUUUAUCAGGCUUAGAGUCCGGAUGAAAGAAGACA